This is a long non-coding RNA of Aethina tumida (small hive beetle), 1238 nucleotides long. RefSeq lists it as uncharacterized. The record is from RefSeq and is a predicted model, not a curated record. The transcript has 4 exons. NCBI's taxonomy places the organism in Eukaryota, Metazoa, Arthropoda, Insecta, Coleoptera, Nitidulidae.
CGUCAUCGGAGUAACCAUGUGGAUAGUCGUGGAAUUUGGUUAAUUUUCCAAGUUUUACUUGUUCAUCCUGUGGGAUAUUGAUUGUAUACUGUGUGCUAAAUUUGUCCUGGCCAUGUAAACAAAAACUCAAGGAGCUCGUGUUAGUGCAUAAAACUUCAGUGACUAUGAGUCGUGUUUUCAUCGAACCUACCCCAUUUGAAAAUCUCAUUGCGCCCUAAAUUAAAAAUAUCGAGCUGUGGAUUUUAAAAAAGAAUUUCUAGAAGCAAUACCUUAAUGCUGUGUUUGCAAUUUAUUAAAACUACAAAGUGAAUUAUUAAAGUCAUGAACGAUGGAGCAAAAGAGAUUCCCAGAAUGUUAUAGUUUUCUCAUGACAAAUGAAUAAUCAAAUUGACAUACAUACAAAGUGAAUCUGAUACGAAAGAAGUGAAAUUAAAGUCGUGGACGAUGGAGCAAAGGAGAUUCCCAGAAUGUUAUAGUUUUCUCAUUACAAUUGAAUGAUCAUAUCCAAAGUGAAUCUGAUAUGAAAGAAGUGAAACUAAAAGGUCAGUGGAACAUUUACUUUGACCUUAUUUAAUCUAACGUACAUUUUAAGUAUACAAACAAGCAUACACAUGUUUAAAGAAAUUAUUGAAAACAAAUAAAUUGAUGGAACAACUAAACAUUAAACUAUUACACAUAUUUACAUAAAAUUCGAAUAGAUACAAAUCAAAUACAUUCUGGAAAUUUUGAUAACAUGUUUACAGACCCAUAAUUUAAUAAAAUAACCCUGGAAUGUAAAAACAUCUGUAUUGAAUCCUGUAUAAAAAUAUUUAUAUUUAUACAUUUAAAAUAAAAAAUUUACUUUUCAAGCAUGUUUGAAGAAACAAUUGAAAGACAUUUCUUAGAUAAAAUUUAAGAAAUUAUCGAUACAGUGGUAGACUAUAUGGAACUUAUUCAGAAUUUCUUAUCCAUUAAGGUUUGCAAUAAUCUCAGCUAUAGAUUUAUAACUAUCAAGAACAUUUCAUUUAUAAGUACUUUGUGUUGUACAAGUGUUAUUAUGAUUUAAAAUAUUUUCAGUGAAAGAACCACAUCUAAAAGAAAGAUGAUUCAACUAAUAUGUAUUUGUGACAAAUUCAUUAUGCACAUGUUUAUAAUUUUUAUGUUUUAUGUAUUAUAACAAGCUCCUCCGAAAUUUAAUAGGUCAUUGUCACAAGAAGAUUAAGGUGUGAAGUCUCUUUAUAUACAUUGUAUUAAUUGAA